This 400-nucleotide ribosomal RNA is filed under the name Ostrinia furnacalis (Asian corn borer). RNAcentral's name for it is "partial 12S ribosomal RNA". The record is from RNAcentral. Lineage: Eukaryota; Metazoa; Arthropoda; Insecta; Lepidoptera; Crambidae.
UAAUUAUUUAUUGAAACUUAAAUAAUNUGGCGGUAUUUUAGUUCAUUUAGAGGAAUCUGUUUAUUAAUUGAUAAUCCACGAAUGAAUUUACUUAAUUUAAAAUUUUGUAUAUCGUUGUUAAAAAAAUAUUUUUAAAUGAAAAUAAUAUUUUAAUUUUAUAAUUAAAAAUUAAAUCAGAUCAAGAUGCAGAUUAUAAUUAAGAAUAUAAUGGAUUACAAUAAAUUUAUUUAAAUGGAUUUUUUUUUGUAAUAAAAAUUUGAAAGUGGAUUUAAAUGUAAUUUUAUUUAUUUUAAUAAAAUGAUUAUAUAUUAAAAUAUGUACAUAUUGCCCGUCGCUUUCAUAAAUAAAUUGGAAUAAGUCGUAACAAAGUAGAGGUACUGGAAAGUGUUUCUAGAAAUAA